AUUGAACGCUGGCGGCAGGCCUAACACAUGCAAGUCGAGCGGAUGAAGGGAGCUUUCUCCUGGAUUCAGCUGCGGACGGGUGAGUAAUGCCUAGGAAUCUGCCUGGUCUUUGAGGCUAACGUCCGUAAACGGGCGCUAAUACCGCAUACGUCCUGAGGUAGAACGUGGGGGAUCUUCGGACCUCACGCUAUCAGCUGACCCUAGGUCGGAUUAGCUAGUUGGUGAGGUAAAGGCCUACCAAGGCGACGAUCCGUAACUGGUCUGAGAGGAUGAUCAGUCACACUGGAACUGAGACACGGUCCAGACUCCUACGGGAGGCAGCAGUGGGGAAUAUUGGACAAUGGGCGAAAGCCUGAUCCAGCCAUGCCGCGUGUGUGAAGAAGGUCUUCGGAUUGUAAAGCACUUUAAGUUGGGAGGAAGGGCAGUAAGUUAAUCCCUUGCUGUUUUGACGUUACCAACAGAAUAAGCACCGGCUAACUUCGUG
This 484-nucleotide ribosomal RNA is filed under the name uncultured bacterium. Its description in RNAcentral is "partial 16S ribosomal RNA". It matches the Rfam family "Bacterial small subunit ribosomal RNA", at positions 30 to 507 of the family's 1533-position model. The record is from RNAcentral.